This is a non-coding RNA of Podarcis lilfordi (Lilford's wall lizard), 76 nucleotides long. The record is from the annotation of a GenBank genome assembly. NCBI's taxonomy places the organism in Eukaryota, Metazoa, Chordata, Lepidosauria, Squamata, Lacertidae.
UUCCAGAUAGCUUAAUUGGUAAAGCAUGAGACUCUUAAUCUUCAGGUUCAUGGGUUUGAGCCCCACUUGGGGCAAA